AUUGAACGCUGGCGGCAUGCCUUACACAUGCAAGUCGAACGGCAGCACGGGAGCAAUCCUGGUGGCGAGUGGCGAACGGGGGAGUAAAGUAUCGGAACGUGCCCAGUCGUGGGGGAUAACGUAGCGAAAGUUACGCUAAUACCGCAUACGAUCUAUGGAUGAAAGAGGGGGAUCGCAAGACCUCGCGCGAUUGGAGCGGCCGAUAUCAGAUUAGGUAGUGGGUGGGGUAAAGGCUCACCAAGCCGACGAUCUGUAGCUGGUCUGAGAGGACGACCAGCCACACUGGGACUGAGACACGGCCCAGAAUCCUACGGGAGGCAGCAGUGGGGAAUUUUGGACAAUGGGCGAAAGCCUGAUCCAGCCAUGCCGCGUGCAGGAUGAAGGCCUUCGGGUUGUAAACUGCUUUUGUAUGGAACGAAAAGGUUUGGGCUAAUAAGCUGAGCUCAUGACGGUACCGUAAGAAUAAGCACCGGCUAACUCUGUGCCAGCAGCCGCAGUAA
Molecule: ribosomal RNA, 500 nt
Filed under: uncultured bacterium
Lineage: Bacteria
Description: partial 16S ribosomal RNA
Rfam family: Bacterial small subunit ribosomal RNA
Source: RNAcentral